This 106-nucleotide small nucleolar RNA is filed under the name Olea europaea subsp. europaea. RNAcentral describes it as "Plant small nucleolar RNA R71". It matches the Rfam family "Plant small nucleolar RNA R71". Rfam says of the family: R71 is a member of the C/D box family of snoRNAs containing the C (UGAUGA) and D (CUGA) box motifs. Multiple nearly identical copies of this snoRNA have been identified in Arabidopsis, and it is thought to function as a 2'-O-ribose methylation guide for 18S ribosomal RNA. The record is from Rfam by way of RNAcentral. Lineage: Eukaryota; Viridiplantae; Streptophyta; Magnoliopsida; Lamiales; Oleaceae.
AUGUCAAGAUUUGGACAAUUCAUAAAUGCACUCUUAAACCUUUCCCAUGCCUUCGAAUAUGUUUCAAGAUCCCUCUGUUUGAAAGUAUAGACUUCAUUUUGAAUUU